This is a non-coding RNA of Dipodomys ordii (Ord's kangaroo rat), 72 nucleotides long. NCBI's taxonomy places the organism in Eukaryota, Metazoa, Chordata, Mammalia, Rodentia, Heteromyidae. The record is from Rfam.
GGGAAGGUGGCUCAGUGGUAGAGUGCUUGCCUUGCAUGCAUGAGGCCCUGGGUUCCAUUCCUCAUCAUCAUA